AAGUGACAUGAGUCCUUGAUGAUUGGCCGCCGGAUGAUCUGGUGAAGCCUUACCGCGGGGAUCUCCGGAUGCAGUUCGAGCAGGAGCAGGUUCUUGAGGCGCAUUACAAUACCGGCGAUGAUCCGUCCGAGGGUCCCCCCAGCUUUGUUCGGUGUGGCAUCGGUGUGAAUGCAACACCACAUAUGCACCGCGGACCUGAAGGACCAAGGACUCUUUGUAAUGCAUGUGGGAUUGCUCGGACGAAGAAACAACAAAGAUCAGACUGCAAUCUUCUGUGCCACCACCAAGUGUGUUCUCCAGAUUCAGCUCAUGAAGUGGAUAAGUGGCAAGGAACAUAGCAUUUGGUAGGGCAGAGACACGGAGCCACCAGAGACCAUGUGCAGCACCUCCAUGAAGAUGUUGAAAGCUAAGUGGUCGCAAUGAACUUUUGUGGUUCCACAUGGACUCUAUUAAAAUUCCAACAUCUACUUCCUUGUCUUUGGUAGAUUUUUAGAUGCUUUGGAGGUCUCUAUUAAAAUUCCACAUGAACUGCUCAUAGAACAAUUUGAAGAUGUCUAUCCAUUAGUAGGUCUCUUGAUGCUAUUGUUGGACCAUAUUUUCUUUCAUGCUAUCCAAGUCUAUCUAAUACCUUUCAAAAUACUUCCUUAAAUCCUUGCUAAUUGACAAUUAAUUGAAGUUAUCACAUGAACAUAUUUAUAAGCUGCUUGGAUAUAUAUAUAUAUAUAUAUAUAUAUAUUAGUCUUUGAUUUCUUGGAUCAUUUGUGUUCUGUUCUUCUUGUGAACCUUUUGCAUAACUGCUAUCGACAUGUGUAUCACUUCAAAGUUAUGUAAGAGUCAAGUAAAUAAAGAUUACAUAGAUUAACGUCAAAGAAGAUUGUGUGUGACAUCACAGAUUGAUAUACUAAGUUUAUUAUCUGUAGGGGAACAUUACAUCAGAAGAUGUACAAAGCCAUGAACAGGAGACGUGGUCGUGGUGGAUCAUGUCCUCUCACAAGUCUCCAGACCCUACAACUCUCAUCAUCAUCUCGCAUUAGACUGAAAUGGCUAAUGCGGAUAGCACUCGACAGCGGUCAUGCAUGGAUGGAUCAGCCGAUCAGCAGCAGGCGUAGAACUCCACCAGCUCGUCGAUGGACUCGGGCGGCGGCUCAGCGUUCUCAAGCAUCCAGAGGAGGUGCUCAAACAGCACGACCUCGCAAUCGACGACGACCUUUCCACCGUCUGGGUUAACGGAUCGCUGCGCGAGGACCUGGAAGAGAGGGUGGCCGACGAGGUCGGAGCUGAUUAGGUAUCGCCGGCGGGACUUACCGACGUAGACAGGGUGGAGGUCGGUCGGAGAGUUCUCGUCGUCGUGGGACCGCACCGCCGCAGAGGGGCUGCCUGCGUGGAGGCGGCUGCGGGAAUGCCAUCUCUUCAGCAUGCAUUUGAGCUUGCCGAGCUUCCCUGCCAUUUGCUUGACAUGCAUGCAAUAUAUAUAGAGUUGUCUGAAUACGAGAAAGAGCGAGGAAGGAGAGAGGAAGACUCCUCCCUGUAUAUAUAGAGAUCUUAGAGAUGAAUGGGGCUAAGUCUUCAUGUGCACCCACAUCAGAGUUGUGGUUGCAUGCACAUAUCCUUCCAAAAUGCUUCACCUUUCACAAGAUGGACCAGCUUGAUCAAGUAAAUGGAAUUAUUCCAUCUGUUGGGAGAUGUAACUAUUGUCCCUAACAUUCUAUUUUCUCUGACUGAUGUGUAUGGGCCAUAUUUUGUUUCUUCCUUUAUAAUACUGAUAAAAUGUGAUUUUGUCUUGUUUGUGCAA
This is a long non-coding RNA of Musa acuminata AAA Group (dessert banana), 1792 nucleotides long. RefSeq lists it as uncharacterized. Lineage: Eukaryota; Viridiplantae; Streptophyta; Magnoliopsida; Zingiberales; Musaceae. The transcript is spliced from 3 exons. The record is from RefSeq and is a predicted model, not a curated record.